Suncus etruscus (white-toothed pygmy shrew) is the source of this 139-nucleotide small nucleolar RNA. NCBI's taxonomy places the organism in Eukaryota, Metazoa, Chordata, Mammalia, Eulipotyphla, Soricidae. The record is from RefSeq and is a predicted model, not a curated record.
AAGGCCCUGACUUAAGACCAGUAAGUUACACUAUAGUUGUUGGUUUCAAGUUGAGGCUCUAAGGACUAUCUUCCUGUGGAUCUGUUGGCUGAUCUGGAACCUCAACAAAGAAAAGCUGUUUUAUUUGAAAGAAACAACA